GUAACGGCGAGUGAAGCGGUAACAGCUCAAAUUUGAAAUCUGGCUCCUCUGGAGUCCGAGUUGUAAUUUGUAGAAGAUGCUUUGGGUUGUGGGUUCGGCCUAAGUUCCUUGGAACAGGACGUCAUAGAGGGUGAGAAUCCCGUAUGUGGCCGAGGCCCGCGCCUAUGUAAAGCUCUUUCAACGAGUCGAGUUGUUUGGGAAUGCAGCUCAAAAUGGGUGGUAAAUUUCAUCUAAAGCUAAAUAUGGGCCAGAGACCGAUAGCGCACAAGUAGAGUGAUCGAAAGAUGAAAAGCACUUUGGAAAGAGAGUUAAACAGUACGUGAAAUUGUUGAAAGGGAAGCGCUUGCACCCAGACUUGGGCGCUGCUGAUCACCUUGCGGUCUCCGCGAGUGCACUCGACAGCGCACAGGCCAGCAUCGGUUCGGGUGGCUGGAUAAAGGCCGUAGGAACGUAGCUCCCUUCGGGGAGUGUUAUAGCCUACGGUGCCAUGCAGCCCAGCCGGACCGAGGACCGCGCCUUCGGGCUAGGAUGCUGGCGUAAUGGGUGUAAGCGACCCGUCUUGAAACACGGACCAAGGAGUCUAACAUCUAUGCGAGUGUUUGGGUGGCAAACCCAUACGCGGAAUGAAAGUGAACGUAGGUGAGAACCCCUUUGGGGCGCAUCAUCGACCGAUCCUGA
Molecule: ribosomal RNA, 678 nt
Filed under: Erysiphe baeumleri
Lineage: Eukaryota; Fungi; Ascomycota; Leotiomycetes; Helotiales; Erysiphaceae
Description: partial 28S ribosomal RNA
Rfam family: Eukaryotic large subunit ribosomal RNA
Source: RNAcentral